UGCAGCCUGCAACUCGGCUGCAUGAAGCUGGAAUCGCUAGUAAUCGCGGAUCAGAAUGCCGCGGUGAAUACGUUCCCGGGUCUUGUACACACCGCCCGUCACACCAUGGGAGUAGGUAAUGCCCGAAGUCGGUGACCUAACCGGAAGGAAGGAGCCGCCGAAGGCAGGACUUAUAACUGGGGUGAAGUCGUAACAAGGUAAC
Molecule: ribosomal RNA, 202 nt
Filed under: uncultured bacterium
Lineage: Bacteria
Description: partial 16S ribosomal RNA
Rfam family: Bacterial small subunit ribosomal RNA
Source: RNAcentral